RNAcentral lists this ribosomal RNA (497 nucleotides) under uncultured bacterium. RNAcentral's name for it is "partial 16S ribosomal RNA". It matches the Rfam family "Bacterial small subunit ribosomal RNA", at positions 28 to 507 of the family's 1533-position model. The record is from RNAcentral.
GAUGAACGCUGGCGGCGUGCCUAAUACAUGCAAGUCGAGCGAACAGACGAGGAGCUUGCUCCUCUGACGUUAGCGGCGGACGGGUGAGUAACACGUGGAUAACCUACCUAUAAGACUGGGAUAACUUCGGGAAACCGGAGCUAAUACCGGAUAAUAUAUUGAACCGCAUGGUUCAAUAGUGAAAGACGGUUUUGCUGUCACUUAUAGAUGGAUCCGCGCCGCAUUAGCUAUUUGGUAAGGUAACGGCUUACCAAGGCAACGAUGCGUAGCCGACCUGAGAGGGUGAUCGGCCACACUGGAACUGAGACACGGUCCAGACUCCUACGGGAGGCAGCAGUAGGGAAUCUUCCGCAAUGGGCGAAAGCCUGACGGAGCAACGCCGCGUGAGCGAUGAAGGUCUUCGGAUCGUAAAACUCUGUUAUUAGGGAAGAACAAAUGUGUAAGUAACUAUGCACGUCUUGACGGUACCUAAUCAGAAAGCCACGGCUAACUACGUG